Molecule: long non-coding RNA, 2433 nt
Organism: Gambusia affinis (western mosquitofish)
Lineage: Eukaryota; Metazoa; Chordata; Actinopteri; Cyprinodontiformes; Poeciliidae
Exons: 3
Source: RefSeq, a predicted model, not a curated record
CAGGAGGACAACUGUCAGAGAAACACUACAUAUCGUCCGAGUGAGGAAAUUAAAUACACUACAAUGAGCUUACAGUGGGAGGACCUAAUUAUACUGUAGUUUGUAAAUAAAUGACGACAAUGGAGAAAUGAAUACACUAUUAUAAUUCCACACACCUAUUGCAGGUGAAAGAAGAUGGAAACUAUUCCACUUUGAUAUUAUAAGAAGAUUGUACAUAAAGGCUCUUUCAAAUAUUGAGGUGAAAAAUAACAUUGAAUGAAAGUUAAAGCUAGAGACAAAGAAGCAAUAUGGGAAAGUCUGAAAGUUCAAAAUCUGCAAACUAUAAUUCAAAACAAGUUGCGACAGUGAAAAUGGCAUGUUCUGGUUUAAUUUUCUAACCCACAUGCAGAAUCAUAUACGAGAAGCCACAUAAAGAAAUUAUAUUUAUUUCCAAAUUGAGAUCAGAUUGUACAGGUGGAAAGAUCUUCUUGUUUCUCUGGAGUGGGAAGAUCACAAGAACGGUUCUGUCUGGAAAGACAGUGGCGUUAAUAACAGCCAGGAAUGAGAUGAUAAAAGAGGGAUAAGGCAGAAUAACUGUGCUUACUCUUGAAUGGAUCUGAGUGGUGCAGAUCAGCAGGGGGAUCAGCCAGAGUCCAGAGUGGUGAAUGGAUUAAUAAUUCCAGAGGUGAGAACGAGAUCGGCGGUCAUAUUAGAGAUCCAGAAGUCUGAUGGAGCGAGGCAGAGAGGUAGAAAUGGUAGCCUGCUUUCAGGCAGGUGAACUUCCCAGUAGGAUUCAUCUGAGGCAGUGAUGGGUCCAGCAGCGCGUUGGCGCGUGCGUCAAUGUGCAUAUCACUAUGAGAAAGUCAUGUGACCAUUACAGGAACUGUUUCAAACUCAUAAACAUGAACACGUAGGCCCUGUCCCAAUACUCCCACUCACAUCCUGGUUCCACCCUCGUGUUCUUCUAAUGCGCGUUCAUGUUGAAGAGAUUGAGUGCGUAGUGCGUCCCACAUUCUCCAGUUGGGGGUGCCCUGGUUGGGUCCCAUAAAAUGGUUGGUCCCAACCAUUUUCCAAGUUGGGACCCAACCUGGAAAAUUUUGGGUCCUGUUUCCACCCUUACGUCCAGAUCCAGGCAGACUUUGGCCGAGUGUAUUACCCACAAUGCAUUGCUGCAUGUGACGUUUUGCGUUAAAAGGUGAAUUUAUGGCAAUGUUUAGUUGUAUUUUCCAGUCUUUAUAGAAAAUUCUAAGAAAAUAGCAUAAUAAAGCACACAUUAGUAAUAAAGGUUUGAUAAUAUUCCCUUAAAAGUAGAGAGAGCCUUGAUAAUAGUUAGUAGUUUUGGUAAAUUCAAGCUGGUGACGUCCUAGUCCAAGUUAGAUAAUAACUCAACUGGACAAAAACUAGAUGGAAAUGAAAUGUGGGUCACUAAAGGAGCCUGAAGGUACGAAGGACGCUAACUUGUGGUAAACUUAAAUAUAACUUAAUCUGGUUUUAAUUAAACUCAGUAUGCUAAGGAGACUAUGUUGUGAGGCUGUUGCUAUCAUUCGUUUUAACUUCAACAUAUUUUUGCAGUCUAAGUAAAUCAAGAUUGAAGAGGAAACGAGGGACCAGGUAUUACAAAACCUGAAGACUUUCCUGUCUCAGAAGAUCACCACCACAGUUCUUUGGAUAAAUCUCCACAUGGUCUUCAUGGGGUAAUUCUUUUUCUUACUGAGCAGCAGGCUACAUUUUAACAACAGCAGAAAGUAGUGUAUUUCCAACACUACAGAGUGUUUAAUUAACAUGUUUUGAUUUGAAAAUAAUUUGAUAGAAUUUAUUCCCUUUGUUAUUUUACCAUUUCUCUUUCAUACAUUUUAUUCAAUGUUAGCUUUCAGGGCCCUGUGAUAACGUGUUCAGGGUUAACCCCGCCUCUCAUCUGAUGGUUGCUGGAAAUGGGCAUGGGCACCACUAACCCCCCUCACCACCCUGCAAGGAUCAAUGUGUCAAUGGAUGGAAAGCUUUUCAGUUCCGAACUGUGCAGACGCCUGCAGGAUUUUAUCGGAGGGCAGCAGCGCCUGCAGGCUCCUCCCACUCUUAUGACAUCAGCACUGUACUACCUUCAGGUGGCGCUAAGAUGCUUGAGAAGAGGCCUCUGCCAGCAACCUGCAUUAAACAACAACCAGCAACUCCUGUGGUCUGACUCCCUUCUUCAUCUGAACACAGCGCAGAACACAUCAAGGUUAACCGACUGUAUAAGACUAGGUUAUCGUGAAGAACACUAAUAGUAUACACUGGUUACAAAUGGUACAUAACACAAAUGUUGACAAUAUGACGUUUUCCAUACAAUAAACAUCUUAGCUUGAUAUCUUACGACCUCAGCAUCACAUUUGUAUGCUCAUCAUCAUACAACCCCAAAAUAAGGAUACACUUUGGGCGGGAUAGCUAAACACCAUAUUUCGGCCCUCACUGCGUUGA